Non-coding RNA from Lasiosphaeria hispida, 94 nucleotides. The record is from the annotation of a GenBank genome assembly. Lineage: Eukaryota; Fungi; Ascomycota; Sordariomycetes; Sordariales; Lasiosphaeriaceae.
GCUCCCGUAACUCAAUGGGAGAGCGGUUGACUUCUAUAGAAUAUUCUGUCUUGAAUUCAUCAUAAGGUUGUGGGUUCGAGUCCCACCGGGAGUG